Long non-coding RNA from Ochotona curzoniae (black-lipped pika), 1433 nucleotides. RefSeq lists it as uncharacterized. The record is from RefSeq and is a predicted model, not a curated record. The transcript is spliced from 3 exons. Lineage: Eukaryota; Metazoa; Chordata; Mammalia; Lagomorpha; Ochotonidae.
UUUGAAAUCCAUGUAAUUUUUUCACAAUAAACUUCAUAAACUUUUUGAAGACUCCCUUAAAUGCAUGGAUUUAUCGUUUUUCUUUGCACCACAAUAAGCCCCAGUUUUAACUUCACUUUCUCAUGGACAUUGUAAGGUUCUCUUGCAGCCCUCUCUCAUGUUCCCGUGGUACUGUUUUUCUGGAGAAUUCUGGCCAGUGCAACACACUGUUGCACCUGCUCAUGAUGAUCAUCACUGCUCCCCCAGGUGUUCUCAGACAGUCACUACUGCAGGUCAAGGUCCCUGACCCCUGAUGGAGAGCCCGCCCCCAAAGCAGGAACUUGAAGAAAAGGAGCCUGUGAUUGGCUGAGGACACAUCUUCAGGGAAUGGCCAAAGAGAAUUUGUCAUGUUGUGUGGAUGAGCAAACUUCCUCUGCCUCACCCGGGAAGGUGAGUCCCCUCCAGGCUUUGGUCAUCGUAAUGUUCUGAGCACUGGGUUUGCAAAGCGCUCUCUCCGUAUUAAUCCACACCUCACACAAGAGACAGCUAGGGUCCCUGAGAGGUGAGUGGAUUAGCUCAGGUGUGUGGUAUGGAUAUGGAGCUCAGAGAAGACUGAAUUGGAAGGUCUUCUAUGUCAGUUGUCCUUCUAAGAAGUCCUGCUCAGGGCUCAGGGUCAUCCCUGAGUUUGCAGAGAGACCCAAAGAGAAACAGUGCAAGUUCAAGGACACAUAGUUAAGGACUUGUGUGUGUCCUGCUGAGUCUGCUCCCAUUCUUAGCUUAUUCACACCAUCAAUCAUCAUUUAUGGAGUGCUUUAAUACCACCCACAAUCAGAUUUUGUUCUCUCUGGUGUUCUUUGCUCCUCCUUUGCAAGGGUUUGGGGUUUGUUUAUCUAAGGGUACCUCCUUACAAAUGCAAAAAUAUUCUCAGUGCUAUUAUCCAUUGAAAAAUUGCCUAUAACUAGUUUGAAAGGCUUCUUUGGGCUCAGGACUCAAUUCUGUUUAAGCCCAUAAUCAGAAGCUAUUUACAAACGUGUUUUCUCCACCUGACUUUGCACAGUUCAUCUGGUUCCUUUGUUUGUGUAUUUUUUUUUAUUGGUUCACUUUGUUUUAUUGUGUGGAAUUCAUUUAAAGUGCUUCCAUCUUAUAAUUAUAUGGGAUUUAGGGGUAAUUCAUUCUGAAGUGUAUACCUAAUAAAUAAAUUACUUUUUCCUGGCUGUUAAUGUUUAACUGGUUCUAUUGGAAGAAAAAAAACAGCAAGAGAAAGAUGAAGAUACAGCUUUUGUUAAACGGAAGAGAAAAAGUGCCCAUUCUGCUUGGAAAAGAACUUCAAACACGCUUAGUGAUGAAUCAAAAGUGAGCAAUAAACAGUAAACAAGCAUACCCCCAACGCAGAGGAUGCGUCAUCACUUCAGUGAAAAGAAGGUGCUAGAAAUCAGAAAAGUUGCUGCUCAUCA